CAGGCCUAACACAUGCAAGUCGAACGGCAGCGCGAGGAGCUUGCUCCUUGGCGGCGAGUGGCGGACGGGUGAGUAACACGUGGGAAUCUGCCUGGUAGUGGGGGACAACCCGAGGAAACUCGGGCUAAUACCGCAUACGCCCUACGGGGGAAAGCGGGGGACCUUCGGGCCUCGCGCUAUCAGAUGAGCCCGCGGCCGAUUAGCUUGUUGGUGAGGUAAUGGCUCACCAAGGCGACGAUCGGUAGCUGGUCUGAGAGGACGAUCAGCCACACUGGGACUGAGACACGGCCCAGACUCCUACGGGAGGCAGCAGUGGGGAAUAUUGGACAAUGGGCGAAAGCCUGAUCCAGCAAUGCCGCGUGUGUGAAGAAGGCCCUAGGGUUGUAAAGCACUUUCAAUGGGGAAGAAAAGCAGGGUGCCAAUACCACCCUGUCAUGACGUUACCCAUAGAAGAAGCACCGGCUAACUCCGUGCCAGCAGCCGCGGUAAUACGGAGGGUGCGAGCGUUAAUCGGAAUUACUGGGCGUAAAGGGCGCGUAGGCGGCUCGAUAAGUUGGAUGUGAAAGCCCCGGGCUCAACCUGGGAAUUGCGUUCAAUACUGUCGGGCUAGAGUGUGGUAGAGGGAAGUG
This 629-nucleotide ribosomal RNA is filed under the name uncultured bacterium. RNAcentral's name for it is "bacterial SSU rRNA". It matches the Rfam family "Bacterial small subunit ribosomal RNA", at positions 43 to 663 of the family's 1533-position model. The record is from RNAcentral.